UACGUAGGAUGCAAGCGUUGUCCGGAAUUAUUGGGCGUAAAGAGUUCGUAGGCGGUUGCCUAAGUCUGGUGUUAAAUACAGGAGCUCAACUCCUGCAUGGCACUGGAAACUGGGCGGCUAGAGUGUGGUAGAGGUCACGGGAAUUCCAGGUGUAGCGGUGAAAUGCGUAGAUAUCAGGAGGAACACCGGUGGCGAAGGCGGUUCUCUGGGCAUGAUCUGACGCUGAGGAGCGAAAGUGUGGGGAGCGAACAGG
RNAcentral lists this ribosomal RNA (253 nucleotides) under uncultured bacterium. Its description in RNAcentral is "partial 16S ribosomal RNA". It matches the Rfam family "Bacterial small subunit ribosomal RNA", at positions 524 to 776 of the family's 1533-position model. The record is from RNAcentral.